Molecule: long non-coding RNA, 2548 nt
Organism: Liolophura sinensis
Lineage: Eukaryota; Metazoa; Mollusca; Polyplacophora; Chitonida; Chitonidae
Exons: 3
Source: RefSeq, a predicted model, not a curated record
GGGCCAUAUCUUACCUUGGAAAAUUUAAGAUUUUAAGAUUUGUCUUUAGUAUUCUCUUAAAUACGCAAAAAUUAAUUCCAGCAGACAUAGUUUUGGAGAAAACCCACGAAAAUAAAUUCCAGAGAAUAAUAAGUACUUUACAGUAAUCCCUUGUAUUCCAGGUUCAACUGCUUAAACAUUCUGUCUGAUGUAUGACAGCAGACAAAAUGAUCUCCUUCACUCUAUCUGCACUGGACUAUUCUAUCUAAAAUAUAUAAGUAAUCUGUUCCAUAGUGUUUCUUCCCAGUAUUUUGAUCUCAGUUGUGUCUGUGUUUCCUUGACACUUGUAUAUUCCUUUAGAUCAUGUUAUAUGAAUGUCUACUUUACGCCUGUGUCACUUUUGUGUUUAAGUUUCAUACAUGUAAACUAUGUCCCGAAAAUCUAUGCUAAGCUUAACUCUCUUUGUACAGAAACUAUAUUAUUCUGGUUCCCAAAACCAUUAACUGGGUCAUCAUAAGGCUAUAAACUUGUCAUGUAUUACCAAUGCAGGUUCUAAUCAACAUACUGCUUCAGUUGUUGUUUCUCAGUUCUGUUAGUAUUUGUGUAUUAUUUCAAUCUCAUGGCUGUAUUAAAAUCAUACAAAUUUCCAGGUUCUAAACAUAUUUUGUUUUUAUGUUCACACAUCUGUGGCUUGUGCAUAGCUGUAUAUAUGUACAUCUUUUACAUAUUGAAUUUUUGUUAUUUUUUUUUUCCUAAAAUGGCUUUUGUUGUUCUCUGGCAUCAUUAUGCCCAUGUAUUGCAGCUUCUAUUAUCAGCAGCCUCUAUGGUUAUACUUUGUAGCUUAUGUCAUACCCUGGGCAUCAGCAUCUGCAUCCAGUAAUGGAGAAAACAAUGUUAAACAAAAUGUUAGGAGGUGGUACCUUAAAAAGUACUGCAGGUAUUGAGCUCAAGGUUUGCACACUUGUAGAGCACAAUAUCAGGUGGGGGAUAUUGCAUCAUAGAUUGGGUGUGCGCAUAUUAAAUACUGUAAAUUACUGAAUACCUGACUUAGUGUAUUGUAUAAUAGAAUCACAGUUAAACAAGUGUUAGGGUUGGUAUCUUACAAAGUAUGUCAUGUAUUGACCUGAAGUUUUACAUACAUAUAAAUCUCCUUGAGCAUAUUAAUUACUGUAAAUUACCAAAUUCACGAUUUCAGUUUUUUAUGCAUUGGGCUGAAGUUUUGCCUUCAUGUGUCUCAUACAGGCGAGCCCUUUGGUAGCAGUUCUAAGUUUAGCAUAACAUAUUGUUGUUCGUUUGUUUUUAUUGCAUUCUUACACCAUUACACUUUUUCUGUAAGCCUCAUACUGCUUGUGUUGCUCAUACAUGCUCUUGAUUAAAGCCUUCUCUUGUAAUAUAUCCAUAGUGUUCCAAUUGUUUUAUAACCAGAGGCUUGGUCAUUUUCCUAACUAAUCUAAAGUAUGCAACUAAUCGUUGUAUACUUCGUUGUUAUCACAUUUAUUAAAUAAUAUAAAGUUUAUCUUAAAUACAAAUCUCUUAUAACUUGAGGUUCCUUUUAUCAUACAUGCAGUACGUGUUCGGUGAAAAAAAGCAUAAUUUACAUGUACCUUUUUUUUAAAUUUCAGGUUUACUUAUCCUGAGCAUUCUUGUCAAUAUGGGGUAGGCCAAUCUUUUCACCUUUUAUGCAACAUUGAUUCAUUCAAAGGCAUCUUCAAGAUCCUUGUCAACCAUGAUGUAAGCCAAGUGCUGACAUUCACCUUUCGUAAAACACAAGUACAUAUCCUCUCCAUUCCUCCCCGGAGUACAACAGAAGUCAACAUUUUGGGGUGACUAGAGACAGAUAAAUCCAUCAUCUGCAAUUAAUCCUGCCAUCUUUCAUGAACACUUCACACUUCAUUUUAUAUUUUCACCAUUUGUGACGCAAACCUUGUUUCUGCACAGGUAGUCUAAAUCACCUCUGUUGAAGCUUGCUGUUUCAUUUGGUUUUAAUCUCGGUGCAUGUGUUAUAUGAACAACUGCCGUCAGCGUCUAAAUUUAGCUUGCCACUGUUUACAUAUGCUGAGUUCAGGGCCUGCUGUCUGCCUCUGCCUUAGAAUGUUCCAGAAUACGCUCAGUUCAGGGCCUGUUUGUUUACAAGUGUUCAAGAAUUUUCUUAUUCUAGAAAAUUCCACCAGUCUAUAUAAGACCUAUGAAAGCAGGUCAAAGGAGGAGAAUGGAGAAUUGAGAGUUUUGGAUGCUUUCGCUGUGUGUUACUUUAGUAGGCCUUUUGUGCUGAAUUUUGGUGUCUUUAUAGCCUCUGGUUUUGUUAUAACCUAUCUCCACCGAGCACUUGUUCAGUCUGAACUUGUAUAUUUAAUUUGUGCUCUUGUGUACACAGUGGUUAUUAGUACACGGACACUGUCUGUGGAAUUUUGUGUAUAUUUCGUCAUACACUCAGUUAUACUGUGGAUUUUCCCUCUUGUGAAUAUUGCCUCUGUGCAUUUUUAAGCAUUAUGGAGUAUAUGCGUGCGUUUGGACUCGACACCGUUGUACAUGUAAGUACUUUAGUAUUUGUAUAGAUACUGCUAUCCUU